Molecule: unclassified non-coding RNA, 5056 nt
Organism: Octopus bimaculoides (California two-spot octopus)
Lineage: Eukaryota; Metazoa; Mollusca; Cephalopoda; Octopoda; Octopodidae
Source: RefSeq, a predicted model, not a curated record
AUAAAAUAAAUAGCAGUCGAACACUGAGGUUGAUGUAAUCAACUAGCCUCUCUCCCACCAAAAUUUCAGGCCCUGUGCCAAUAGUAGCAAUUGUUAGCGCAUUGAACAAAGUGCUGUAAUAACUAUUGCUUCUUGUUGGCUGCAUAUAAGAUGAUAAACAACACUCAUGGACAAUUAAUAGAAGCUUUAUUUACUGCACAUAUUCAAUAAUCUUUUGGUCAAGGGAUGAAGAAUCUGUGGGUCAUUGGGUGAAGAAUAAAGACAACAAUUUAUACACACUGGGAGAGACAACUCUGGAGUUUAUGGUAAAAUAGCUGGUAUGUGUAGAUCGAUGACUGGGCUGUCACAACUAGGAAAAUAUUGUGUUAAAUUCAAUGCCAAAUUUGUACUUUCAAUCUGCAGAGCUGGAGAAAGGAUAAAAUGAGAAUGAAGUUGUUAAAACAACAGUCUCAACAUUCUGAGGUUACCACCAAAAAUCCCCCCUUCUAUAAGGCUCAUUAGAAGGUGCUAGACAAUCAAAGCACAUCAUGGCUCAAUGCUGAUUGGUCAGUUAAUUGGCCAGCAUUCGCAUGGCUGUCCAGUGAUUUGGUUUUAAAUCUGCUACAAUGUUUAGCAGCAUUUCUUCUGGUUUUACAUUCAAAGUUCAAAUGCCAGCAACUUUACCUUUCAUUCUUCCAGGCACAAUAAAAUAAAUAUCAGUUGAACACUGGUAGACAUAACUGACUAGCCUCCCUCACACCAAAAUUUUAGGCCUUGUGCCUAUAGUAAGAAAGGAUUCUUAACCUUGUUUUGGAUGAAAGGUGGAUUAGUAGAAUCACAUUACAGCAUUGGAAAAUGUGAAAAUUAAUAUUUAUAAAAUUUAAGUUUUAAUUUCUUGAAAUUAUUUCCCCUUUUCUUUAAGAGUAGCUCAGAUUUGCUGCUAGGUUAUUUUUGUUUUCUUCCUCCAACUAAGAAAGUUAAAUCAGUCAAAAACUUACUUUUUUCCCUCUGUCAUUCAUACUUGAAUUAUCCAAAUUCUUUAUAUCUACCCACAUAUGGGUUUUUUUUAGCUCUCCAAUCACUUUUCUUAAUCAUACAAAUUACUGUUGGGUAAAAAUAUCAUUAAUGACUUUAUCAAAUUUCAUAUAAGAACCUAAAUAACCAGAACUAAAUUAUUUCAAAAUACAAUUUUUUGGGACAUUUUCUUGACAAGUCUGUAUUUUCAGAUUUAAGAUACUGUUAUGAAAGCUUGCUUUAGUGCAUGGUGGGGAGAGCAUAACAUAAAAAAGGGUGGGAGGAGACUUGAUUAGUAAGAACAAAAGAUAAAGAGAUUGUUCAUUAUCAACAUCGUGUUAUUUCAAGAUGAUGGCAGUAACUGUUUCGCGGCAUGCAAUAGCUGAUGACUGUGAACAUAUUAUUGGUUUAUUCAAGGAACAAGUAAAAUCUGGAGAAAAGAAAAACCCACCUUCUGUGGAUGAUCUAAAAACCUACUGUUUGAAUGGAGAGAACUCGUUCAAUAUCCUCAUUGCUGAAUGGAAUCAUAAAGCUCCUUCAAAAGCAGUUGACAGACCAAGCACAGGACCAUUGGUUGGAUAUAUGUUCUACCAAUACAUAUUCUCCACAUGGGAAGGCAUGACUAUACAAAUAACUGACCUGUACGUGUCACCACUACCACAAUAUGAGUUCAUCUGUAAAGAUCUGUUUCAUUUCCUAUCCAAGAUGUCUGUAGAUGAGAAUUGUGUUCAAGUGCAAUGGCGAACAAAUGGUAACAAUGACUUGAAAAACUUAAGCAAAUAUUUUAAUGCCAUGAAUAUGACAGAGAUGGCAAAUUGUCUUGCAAAGAAACUCGAAAAGCAUCAGCUGAAAGAAAUUUGCUCUAGUUGCUAAGAAAUGCAACUUUGUUCUCUUUUUUUCUAAAGGAAAAUUAAAGACUAAUAAACGAGAGCAAAGGCAGGAGAUAAGGGCAGAAGAAAAAAUACACAAGCAAGAAUCUGCAGAUGGAUGGAUAAACAUUUAUAUAUUUAAGAUACCGUUAUGAAAGGUUAUUAUAGUGACUUAUUAUAGGGACUUGAUUGGUCGGAACAAAAAUAAAAGAGACUAUUCAUUGUCAACACCGUGUAAUUUCAAGACGAUGGCGCUAAUUGCCUCGCGGCAUGCAACAGCUGAUGACUGUGAAUUCAUUAUUGGUUUAUUCGAGUCAUUUGACUGCGGCCAUGCUGGAACACCGCCUUUAGUCGAGCAGAUCGACCCCAGGACUUAUUCUUUGGAAGCCUAGUACUUAUUUUAUCGGUCUCUUUUGCCGAACCGCUAAGUUACGGGGACGUAAACACACCAGCAUCGGUUGUCAAGCGAUGUUGGGCGGACAAACACACACACACACAUAUACAUAUAUACGACAGACUUCUUUGAGUUUCCGUCUACCAAAUCCACUCACAAGGCUUCAGUCGGCCCGUGGUUAUAGGAUAUCUGGCAGUAAAAUAUUGCUGCAAUAACUUUUCCAGCAAGGAAAAGUUAACAUAAAACGAACGACCUUGUGUGAGUGUUGUCUACUAAAACCACAGGUUGACCAAAGCUUUUUGAGAGGAAACUAAAAGAAGCAUAUUGUGAGUGUGUUUGAGUCUUUGUAUUUGUAUCUCCCCAAUUCCAACUUGUUAAUUAAUGUGGCUUGUGUAUAUCCCUGUAACGUAGCGGUUUGGCAAAAGAGACCGAUAGAAUAAGUAACAGGCUUUAAAAAAAGUACUGACAGUGUCCCAGCAUGGCCAUAGUCCAAUGUCAGAAACAAGUAAAAGAUACAUAAAGACCCACACUACGAAGCACAAUGUAUUUUACCUCUAUUCAACCCAGAAAGACAUGAAAACUAACUGAAACUGCUGAUGUUAAUAUUAAAACAUUUUGAUUAAAGAAAAAAAAAUACCGAGAACCACUUGGAUGUUUCCACUGGUAGAUGGUUGGGUAGGUUAUUGGAAAGAGAUAUAACAAUCAAACCUACUGUGUGUGUGUGUGUGUAUCUGUAAGAGGGAGAGAGAGAUGGUAUUCCAUCUUGGCCUUCGUCGUAAUGGCUAAAUACCUAAAGAACACAUGGUCUCCAUCUCAGUUUCUUUUAAUAAGGUUGAUAAACUAUUUUUUUUUUUAGCCAUAAUUCUGAUAUGUGCCACAUUUGGAAAACACCUAAAGACUCAUCUCACAAAUAGUUCUCCCCACUACCUUUAUAAAAGGUGUGUGUUAUGAGUUUUAAAAAAUGUGUAGUGUGGAUUUUUUAUUUGGUUGAUAAUCCAAAACGAAAGAGCAAUAGAUGGAUUUGUUUGGGUGUAAAGCAAAGUGCUCCGAAAGUGAAAGUAAACAACCAUAAAAUUUAUGUAAAAACUACUUUCAUAGGUACUGGCAUUGUUGUAUAAGAAGCUUGCUUCCCAACCACAUGGUUCUGGGUUCAGUCCCACUACGUGGCACCAUGGGUGAAAGUCUUCUACUAUAGCCUCCGGCUGACCAAAGCCUUGUGAGUGCAUUUGUUAGAUGGAAACUGAAAGAAGCCUGCCAUAUAUGUAUGAUUAUAUGUAUAUGUUUACAUCCCUGUAACUUAGCAGUUUGGCAAAACAGACUGAUAGAAUAAGUACUAGACUUACAAUUCAUAUUGUUCCUAAAAUACAUGUAUACUUGGACUGUGGAAAGAGAAAUUUAUACAUGCUUUAUGGCUCAGACCUUUUAUCAAGUUAGAGUAGCAUUUCCCAACCUGUUUUCUCUCAGGACCCACUAUAACUUUCCCAAAAAAUGUAUGUCUCACUACUUUUUGGUAAAAAACAACUUUAUCUUUAAUAUCUUAUCACGUUUAACAUAAAAGAAUCUACUCUUUUAUUAAGUACUGAGUUCAAAAAAAAGAAGUACAUUAUUGACAAAGAAAUAAAAGUUAAUCACUUUAAUGAGAACCUUGUACCAGGCGACUUCAGCACCAAGCCCUACCACAUUUUUCCUUGGUCCCCACCAGUGGGGUGUAUGCCCCACGUUGGGAAUCGUUGAGUUAAAAAGAGAAAAGUGAAAUUUUAAGAAAAAAAUAUUACAUGCUGUUAGACAGGUGUCAUUAUAGUUACAGAGACAGGAAGUGGGAAGGUAGUGGUGGAUUUUGAAGAGGGGUGUUGGUGAGUAUGGUAGGCAUUUUUUUGCCAUGAAUAUGUUGACUGAUUUAUUGUUUCAGUAUUUAAGGAUAAAUACUAAAUACAGAGACUGAUGAUAGUUGUGUGAAUAGGUCAUGAUGACUCAGUGAUAGUAUUAGCUAGAUGCCAUGCUCUAUUAUGUGUAUCUUGUCAUGUUCUAGUUUCUGUAAGAACUUCACGACAAACCAAUGAUUGGAGCCUCUUCAUAAUUACUCAACCUGCUAGAAAUAGCAGUCCAAUCUCUAAUUACUCCAUACUGUCUUGAGAAAGGAAAGACUAUAUUGAACCAUUAAUUCUACACACAUAUGGCCCAGACCAUGAUUAUCAACAUGAACAUCAAACUUCAAAAAGUAGUUAGCUAUUUAAUGGUUUUAGUAAAUUUAUACAGAAAAAGUAAGCAUUAUACCAUCCAGCAUAAAUAAAAGUCAACUUCACUAUAUUUUUUCUGUAAAAACCUAUUCUGACAUUAAAUGAGUCAACUUCUGGUAUGAAUGUUUACAUUUGUACAUCAUUUUUCAACAAAAAAGAAUUUCUAAAAAAUUCUGGAAACUAUCUACUCAUGUAAUUUACGCACCCCCUAAAGUUUAUUUUUGUUUUUGCAAAAGAAGUGCGUAAAUUACAUGGGUUUUUACAGUAUAUUCUAUGGCUUUUCAAGGAUUCCUGGAUGUCUCUUAAUACAAUCAAUUUUCAUUAUAAAACUGCACCUUGUUGCCAAUACCCAUGGAUGAUCUGUAUAAAGCAAACUACAAGGUCUAUAACCAAACUGAAUUUACAUAUAUAUAUAUAAAUUGGAAAUGUAAAAAUAAAAACAAGACACAAAGGAUUCUGUGGUACACGUGUUUCAAGCUUUUGUUUUUAUUUUUACAUUUCCAAUUUAUUCCUUCACCCCGGCCACAAUCUGGCAUACACAGGUGCUUAUAAUUAUCAAGUAU